CAAUAGCGUAUAUUAAAGUUGUUGCAGUUAAAAAGCUCGUAGUUGGAUUUCUGGUGGGAGUGACCGUUCCAGACUUGAUUGUCUGCGUAUUGAGUUGUCUCCAGCCAUCCUUGUGGAGAACUUUUCUUGCAUUAAUUUGUAGGGAUUGGGACCCGCAUCGUUUACUGUGAAAAAAUUAGAGUGUUUAAAGCAGGCAAUCGCUUGAAUACAUUAGCAUGGAAUAAUAAGAUAGGACUUUGGUACUAUUUUGUUGGUUUGCAUACCAAAUUAAUGAUCAACAGGAACAGUUUGAGGAUAUUCGUAUGAACAUGUCAGAGGUGAAAUUCUUGGAUUUUGAUCAGACGAACUACUGCGAAAGCAUUUAUCAAGGAUGUUUUCAUUAA
RNAcentral lists this ribosomal RNA (383 nucleotides) under uncultured eukaryote. Its description in RNAcentral is "partial 18S ribosomal RNA". It matches the Rfam family "Eukaryotic small subunit ribosomal RNA", at positions 592 to 976 of the family's 1831-position model. The record is from RNAcentral.